UACCCCCAGAAUCAACAUUCUUCCCCCAAAAAUUGAGAAAACCCUAGCCCCUUUUCUCUCCCUCUUAUUUCUCGAUGGAGACCACCGGAGCACGCCACCAUGUACCGCCGUUCACCGGCGUCACUCCCUCACUCCCAAUUUCAUGUCGACAUCUCCAAUCGGGAAGCCUUAAAUCGAAGAGAUUUGGUUGCGCCUUGCCCGUCGGUCGCGCCCGGUUGAUACUCCGUCGCCUACCGCCGUCGUCGCUUCCCUCCUUGGCGUCUCGCGUUGGGCGCCUCCCCUAUCUUCACGGCGUCGUCGACGCGGGGAAUGGACGCCACCUCUUCGGUGGAACUGCCGCCAUCGUCGACCUCACGCUUCACCUCCGGCGGCGCAACAUCUCGGCAAGAGCCAUUCCUCAUCCAAGCUAAGUUCUUGUUACAUUCUUUCUAGUGUGUUUGGUUGAAAAUUGAGAAAUCUCUAUGCUACUGUAACUUGAGUAUUAGGGGACCCCCUUUUUUUUCCUAAAAUUUCUACUAUGGUUGGUUCGAUUGGAGGGUUGGGCAUGUGGUAGAUUGUAACUAACCUUAGGUUUAGACCUAUGCUUUUAAUUUUUGAUUGUGGGGAAGGCCUCGACAUUAACCGGAGGAACUUUGCACAAAGUGAGGUCUCUAUCCUAUGUUAUGUACAACUGCCAAGCUGCUGUCUCCUUCGUGUAAAAGCAGUGGCUCGCUGCUUCUAAAUCUAGUGUUUCUACAUGAGUGAACUUGUUGGCUAAUGGAUGUCUUGUAGUUUAAAGCUACUACUUGUGUACUAAGCAUGUUACCUCUUUUUAAGCAUUCUUUCGUGGAGGUUAACGGUGCUCUCAUAAUCUAACAUGCUGUGAUUUCCUAUUAUAAGGUGUCACUACAUGUUAAUAUGGUUCAUGUUUGAGUUUGGAAAAAGAAGAAGAGGGUGGGGAUACUCUUUAACUCACUAACUUGUAAAUGAUAUGUGGUGGAGAAGGAAGUAAGGCCGAGGAGGUUAUCAUAUAUAUAUGGGUUGUGUAACUGAAAGCCUGCAAGGCUGAUUGUGUGUGCAGGGAAAGGGGUCCUUAUUUUGAUUGUAUGUUGGCUGUUCUCCUGCCAUAAUGAAGGUGACUAAGAUCUGCAAGGAGGUUAAAUGAGCCCUACAGCUGGAGCUCUGCAGAGUGCUGUUGACUAAGAUCUGCAAGGAGGUUAAAUAAGUCUGUGGCCUUUCCUUGGCUCGUAGCGGCUGUUGAGUGCAGGAAAAUGCAGCCCCCCCCCAUCCUCCUAAAUUAGGGAAGGAGGUUUUUUUAGGAGGAUCAACGAUGGUUCCCUAUCUACCCCCGAAGUGACUCGGACCCCCGGCCUAACGGUAGGAGGUGAAGCGUCUUACCACCGAGCUGUGCUUCGUUGUUUGGGUGGGAACAAACGAGUCCACCUACCUCCCCCAAGCACGGGUCCUGGCCGCCCCCCAAACAUGGGUACAGGCUACCUCCCCCAGCUCCUGGGUCCAGGCCAGUGAACCCAUCACCCCCAAGGAAAAUUAAUCACCAAGCUGCGCCUCCCAGGGGUCGAACUCGUGACCUCCAGGAUGGACGCGGUAUCCAGCGCCCUUUGCCACUAGGCCAAGGAGGUUGAUUACAUACGGCUGCCACCUUGACGUCCCGGCCCACCGGGCCGUCUAUAAUCGGGCCGAAACCGGGCCUGAAGAAUGGCCGAAGCUUAGCAUUUUUUUUAAUUGUAAUAGGGUAGUGCUUUUCCAAGCUUUCUUUUCUUUCAACAUGUGCGAAAUAUUUAUAAAGUUAGAAUGUAUUGUUUUCCCUUCAUUUCCAUUAUCGUACGUGUUGUAAGUUAAGACAUAGUUCGGAAAGUAACACGUAUUUUAUUCACUUAAGGAAUAAACGAACACACUUCUAUUUUA
Molecule: long non-coding RNA, 1905 nt
Organism: Salvia splendens (bonfire salvia)
Lineage: Eukaryota; Viridiplantae; Streptophyta; Magnoliopsida; Lamiales; Lamiaceae
Exons: 3
Source: RefSeq, a predicted model, not a curated record